Alosa alosa (allis shad) is the source of this 302-nucleotide long non-coding RNA. RefSeq lists it as uncharacterized. The record is from RefSeq and is a predicted model, not a curated record. NCBI's taxonomy places the organism in Eukaryota, Metazoa, Chordata, Actinopteri, Clupeiformes, Clupeidae. The transcript is spliced from 2 exons.
CAAAAGCCCCUCUGGAAGCUUGACUGACAGGAGACAACAGAGCACCCCCGUCACUGCCUUCCCAAUGAGUCUCCUUGCAGCUUACUGAUGAUACUCAUGCAAAACAACUCCGGGUCAAUGAUCUCGCUGAUCAUGCCACAUUCAAAGAUGAGCUCCAGACUAUGGAGGAUUUCAUUGGAGAUGACCAAGGACACACAACGGAGAUGAGCAAGGACAAAUACAAGUAGAUACACACAGGAACAUACACCCUAAAGGAGAGAGGGGUUGGGUUAUUAUGUCAAAGCAAUAAAGUACUUCACAGA